GCUCUUCUAGCGUAUAUCGAAGUUGAUGCAGUUAAAACGCUCGUAGUCGGAGCUGUUCGGCUGGAGGAGAAAAUGCUGAUGUUAUCGAAAGAUGAUAUUGGAACUCCACCGAUUCAUUGGAUUGUGCGUGUGCAUGGGUUCGCCUGUGAUUACUGCCUUCCACUUUUACUUUGAGGAAAUCAGAGUGUUCAUAGCAGUCG
Molecule: ribosomal RNA, 200 nt
Filed under: uncultured eukaryote
Lineage: Eukaryota
Description: partial 18S ribosomal RNA
Rfam family: Eukaryotic small subunit ribosomal RNA
Source: RNAcentral